AGUAUGAUUUAGAGUGUAUGGAUUUGGUUUUGGUCCUGUAUCUUGGUUUUAGCUACAGAAAACACAUGGUACUUUAGGGGUCCCGGUGAGUAGGAGAAAUGUUAGAUUGGAUGGAGUUUAAAAUUUCGUUCUAUUUUUCAUUUUUAGGCAUAAUUAUAUCUGUAUGACGUCUAUUUUUAUUCACUAUACACCAGUGUUGGAGGUUGAACAAUGAAUUUUGGUUCGAUUCAGUGAGUUGUUAUUAAGGCCUGGUAAAGUUUGUGCCAGCAACUGCGGUUAGACAAACAGGCCAAGCUAAGAUUUGUGCAGCAUAAAGUAGGGUUAGGGGUACAAAAAGAAAAUUAGGUUUAAGGAAGUUUAAGAUAGCUUAAGGGGUGCAAUCCUAAGAGUUGUGGAUUUAGCUGGUAUUUCCUUUAUUUGCCUGACGCCCUGAGACUCCGGUGAAAAACCGGGAUUUGGUAUCCCGUUAUUCGGAGUGUAAACUUUGGUUUGUAAUCUGCUGGGGUACUACGAGCGUUAAAAUUAAAGCUGGGCUUAAAACUCAAAAAACUUGGCGGUGUUUCAUAUCCUCCCAGGGGAACCUGUCCCAUAAACGAUGAUCCACGUUUUAUCUUACCUUGUUUUGAAAUACUUACGUAAAAGUAGGUCAGCUUGUAUACCGUCGCCGACGGACCACCCUUGAGGGGUUUAAAGUGGUCGGGAAGAGAAGUUAAAAGUCUCAGUUUGGUUAGUCCUAUGAGGAUGAAUUGUAACUGUACUUGUUUUGCUAUCGUUCCUAAGGGUUCUAUAGUUGUGAAUUUCUCAGGAUGUCAGAUCAAGGUGCAGCUUAUGGCAAGGAGGUGAUGGGUUACAAUAAUUUAGUUAUUAUACGGAUUUUUUACUGUAAUGUAAAAUUUGAAGGCGGACUUGGAUGUAAUAUUAAAUUAAUAAGUUAUAGUGAACUAGGUUUUGAGAUGUGUACAAAUCGCCCGUCGCUCUCGUUGAAAAAUGAGAUAAGUCGUAACAUAGUAGGGGUACCGGAAGGUGUCCCUGGAAUAAGGUUAUU
This 1045-nucleotide ribosomal RNA is filed under the name Haliotis tuberculata (green ormer). Its description in RNAcentral is "12S ribosomal RNA". The stretch from base 158 to 1045 matches the Rfam family "Bacterial small subunit ribosomal RNA". The record is from RNAcentral. Lineage: Eukaryota; Metazoa; Mollusca; Gastropoda; Lepetellida; Haliotidae.